GCCGAAAGGCAAGAGUGCCCGCAAGGGAGCGCGGAGACAGGUAAUGCAUAACUGUCGUCAGCUCGUGUCGUGAGAUGUUGGGUUAAGUCCCGCAACGAGCGCAACCCUCACCCCUUGUUGCCACCAGGUUAUGCUGGACACUCUAGGGGAACUGCCCCGGUCAACGGAGAGAAAGGCAAAAACGACGUCAAGUCAUCAUGCCCCUUACGUCCUGAGCUACACACGUGCUACAAUGACCGGUACAGAAAGAUGCUAGACCGCGAGGUGGAGCUAAACCCAAAAAGCCGGUCUAAGUUCAGAUUGGAGUCUGCAACUCGACUCCAUGAAAAAGGAAUCGCUAGUAAUCGCGUAUCAGCACGACGCGGUGAAUACGUUCCCAAACCUUGUACACACCGCCCGUCACACCACGAAAGCCAGCUGUACUCGAAGUCGCUGAG
This 437-nucleotide ribosomal RNA is filed under the name uncultured bacterium. RNAcentral's name for it is "bacterial SSU rRNA". It matches the Rfam family "Bacterial small subunit ribosomal RNA", at positions 1000 to 1434 of the family's 1533-position model. The record is from RNAcentral.